RNAcentral lists this ribosomal RNA (253 nucleotides) under uncultured bacterium. RNAcentral describes it as "partial 16S ribosomal RNA". It matches the Rfam family "Bacterial small subunit ribosomal RNA", at positions 524 to 776 of the family's 1533-position model. The record is from RNAcentral.
UACGGAGGGUGCAACCGUUGCUCGGAAUCAUUGGGCGUAAAGCGCACGUAGGCGGUCUGUUAAGUCGGAUGUGAAAGCCCUCGGCUCAACCGAGGAAGUGCAUACGAAACUGGCGGACUUGAAUAUGGAAGAGGGUCGCGGAAUUCCCGGUGUAGAGGUGAAAUUCGUAGAUAUCGGGAGGAACACCAGUGGCGAAGGCGGCGACCUGGGCCAAUAUUGACGCUGAGGUGCGAAAGCGUGGGGAGCAAACAGG